RNAcentral lists this long non-coding RNA (2266 nucleotides) under Homo sapiens (human). Its description in RNAcentral is "non-protein coding lnc-TMEM238L-16:5". Lineage: Eukaryota; Metazoa; Chordata; Mammalia; Primates; Hominidae. The record is from RNAcentral.
ACACCCAGCAGGCAGAGAAGGCAGCAGCAGGCAGGACCGCCACCCUCCCAUGCAAAUCACCCCCGGGAGUGCAGCUGGGCUCCUCCCGCUCCUCCUGGGCAAUGCUCCUGGGGAGUCUGUGGGGAAGAUGCCAUCCAGGGCGCUGUGCGCUCUUCCUCAUCCUCGCCCUCCUGCUGGACGCGGUCGGCCUGGUCCUUUUGCUGCUGGGGAUCUUGGCCCCCCUGAGUUCCUGGGACUUCUUCAUCUACACAGGUGCCCUGAUCCUGGCUCUCAGCCUACUGCUCUGGAUCAUCUGGUAUUCCCUCAACAUUGAGGUGUCUCCUGAAAAACUGGACCUGUAAUUUGGCCAUGGGAAGAGGAGAAGAGACGCAGGUGCUGUAUGCAGACAUGUCUGUGAACCUGGGGCUCUUGGGCAGCAACACGUUGCAGCUUCCACCUAGCAAGCCACGCCGGGACCAGGUGAGUGCACACAAGACCUACCUGGCAGGGUGGCCAGAGAGGCUUGGACAAGCAGGGGCAAGACCAGGCCUCCUGAGGCUGCAUAAGCAAAUAGCCAGACACUGCACCCUGACUGGGGAUCCUGUGGCCCUGGCCUCAGGUCCUGCUGGGGUGGCCAGCCAAGAGGACGUGGGGCAGGUGUUUUCUCCUCCGGGCCCUUUUCCUCGCAGAGGCUGGAAAGAGAGUCUCAACAGCCCCUUCCACCCCUGAUAUACCACGAAUGAUCCUGGCUUCUGGGCACAAUGGGAAGUUAUCCCUUUACCUCGGAACUUGGGGACAAAAAGACCCCAUCUGCAUUCUCUGUUGGGAAGAAUCUCUGCUGGGGAGAAAAGUCUUUAGCACAGGAGAGGACGGAAAGUUCCCCAAUGACUCUUGUGCCCUUGCAUACAUGAAGGGGUGUGAACUGGGCCACGGUAAAAGCAAACAGAGCAGAACCACCCAGAACGGCCCCUCUCGUUCACUUCCUCCCUGCACCUGCCCAGAUGGGAUACAAGAAGCGGGGUAGGGACUACUCGCCUCCAUGCCCACUCAGUGCACACACCUCCUCUCUCUGCAGUAUUCCCACCCCACCCUCACUCACACUCACACGCAGCCAACACAUGUGCCCAGCCAGUCUCCAAGGCCCAGAAGUCAAGACAGUUUGGCUUCAUGGAUUUCAUCCGCUGAGUUGCAUGUCACAGCUCAGUCUAUCGCGUGCAACCAAAGAGGCAGAGAGUUGUAAGAUUUUUUCACAUCAAGACAGAGUCCCAGAGAUAGAGUGGUCUGGUCCUUACAACCCUGAAUUAGAGAUGGACAGCUGUCUCCAGGGGACUGAAGUCAGAGCCACGGUCCAUUGGGCAGCCAUACCCUCCUCCCCAGGUGGGCCCAACCUGCACGCAGGUGUAUCCAGGCACUCCCGUUUCUUACUCCCUUACCAGAAGUAAGAGCAAAGGUCGUUGCUGAGUUGAAAGAAGGAAAUAAUAAUUGUGUCUUUUGUGGGGGAUUACACCUGACUCUCAGAACUCAGAGAAAAGAGAAGCAAAAUGAAGAGGUCUCAGUAGAGUAAGGUAAGCCCAUACCUAGGAAAUGAUGUAGAAACAGAUGAGAAGUCAGUCCCACUCUGAUCUUCAGCACUUGUUAGCUGGGUGUUUUUGGCCAGGUUGCACACUCUGAGCCUCAGGAUUCUCAUCUGUAAGAUGAAGAGAAUAUUUCUGGCCCUUAUUGCUGCAAGGAUCGAAAAGAGAUAAGGCAGGGAAAGGCUGUACAAUUGAUGUGGUUCUUACACCAGAUGUCAAGCAUACAAAACACAUAAUCUGGGAUGAGUUAACUGACCCAAAGUCCAAAUGUGAAGUACCUUGGUGUCUCUCAAAUUGGUAGUGAUGGGGGUCAACUCACACUUUGCAUCAGGAAACUUCAGAGCAAAAAGGGUCCCUGAUUUGUGUGCUGGUAUGUUGGAAUGUGUCAGGCACUGUGCAAGACACUGGGGAUAAGAAAUGAGACACAUGGACCAGGCACAGUGACUCAUGCCUGUAAUCCCAGCACUUUGGGAGGCCGAGGCGGGCAGAUCACUUGAGGUCAGGAGUUCAAGACCAGCCUUGGCAACAUGGUGAAACCCCAUCUCCACCAAAAAUACAAAAAAUUAGCCACGCAUGGUGAUGCACACCUGUAAUCCCAGCUAUUCAGGAGGUUGAGGCAGAAGGAUUGCUGGAGCCCAGGAGGCACAGGCUGCAGUGAGCAGAGAUUGCACCACUGCAUUCCAACCUGGGCGGCAGAGUGAGACCUGUCUCAA